Molecule: microRNA, 18 nt
Filed under: Xenopus laevis (African clawed frog)
Lineage: Eukaryota; Metazoa; Chordata; Amphibia; Anura; Pipidae
Description: xla-miR-181b-3p
Gene: xla-miR-181b-3p
Source: miRBase by way of RNAcentral
CUGAACGAUGAAUGCAAC